Molecule: RNA transcript, 3461 nt
Organism: Lycium barbarum (goji berry)
Lineage: Eukaryota; Viridiplantae; Streptophyta; Magnoliopsida; Solanales; Solanaceae
Gene name: ELF3-like protein 2
Exons: 5
Source: RefSeq, a predicted model, not a curated record
UACUCCACUCAGCAUAAUGCAAUAUCCUGUUUUAAAGUGAGAUCUUUGUCCAGAUAUUUCGUAAAAAGAUUGGACAAUUUCGUACAUGUGGGGUUCAAUAACACGUACACAUUUGUUACGGCAACUGUUGCUGUUUUGCCUUAGAGAGAAAGAAAAGGAAAGCGACUCAGUCACUCCCCACCAUUUUUUUUUUUUUUUUUUGGUUUUGUUGGAUUUAAUGUUACGUACUAUGUAGUAAUAUUCUGUGCCUUUUAACGUCCCUUACUCGUGGAAGUUCCAGUAAUUUUAUCCAUCCUUUUGGCCCCACAUUGUCCUCAUUUUAUUCUCCUUCUCAUGUAUUUCUUGAUCUGAUCUUCUUCUAAGAUUCCCAUAUGAUGCUCUUCUCUUGCUUAAAACUAUCUUUAUUCAAUCUUAUAAUAUCUGUUUGCUGAUUAUCUUGAUUUUCCACACUCAUUUCCCUUACAGGGCAUUGCAAAAGCAUUUCAUAAUAGGUUCUUGCAUUCUGGAUAAUGGAAAAUUUGCUUCUUCUAUAGCAGCCUGUUUUGUUUCUCUUUCUUGCAUCAAUAUUGAAUUUUGACGUUUAAAAAUCCGUUCUUGAAUUGUAAUUUCAUGUGGUCUUGCUCAUUGCUACUGAUUUCCAGUCAAAAGAACCGAUAUUUUGAGGUGGGCUGAUUGAUUGUUGUGGGUACUUGAGGAAUUGUUCUGCAACUUGAUAUAGCUUUGGUGGAAGAGAAUUUGGGUUUGUACUAGUGAGCAUUCUUGGACCUGGAACGGUCUCGUGAAUAAUGAAAUGGUUCCUCUCUGGAAACGAGUACUCAAAUUUUGUGUAGUUUAUAAUUUCAGACAGUUACUAAUCUAGAGACCUAUAGUAAGCGUCCUUCGCGACAAUAGUGGCUUCGCCCUUCGGGUUGCUGAAGCCCUGAGAAACGAAAGGAUGAAGGUAGGAAAAGAUGAAGAGAGGGGUAUGGAUCCUCUGUUUCCUAGAUUACAUAUAAAUGAUGCAGAUAAAGGAGGUCCAAGAGCACCUCCAAGGAACAAAAUGGCUCUUUGUGAACAGUCGUCCAGAUCACCUCAAAGGUUAACCUCUACUUCUGCUCCUGCCCCUGGAACAAUGUCAAUGCUGCCUCUCCCGCCUAAUGGUGGAAACUCUAUUCCUACAGCAUCUUCUAGUCUUGUUGGUUGCAAUAAAAGGAGUUUGUUUUCCCACAAUUCAUCUGAGUCUUCUCAUUUUGUUGAGAUACUUCAUCCGUAUUCUUCUGGUGGGACGAACUUUACAAUGAGACGUCCUGAUGUACAACCAGUGAAGUCGCUGAAUCCUCAAGUUUUAUGUCUUAAAGGGAAUUUGCAUGGUCCAUCUCAGUUUAAUUCUAUUCAGCCACACAGUUUAUCAUACUCCAACAGUAACCCUUCUGCAAACAAGUUUGGAAGGGAAAAUGAUUUUUUUGGUCCAAAGUUCGUCGCAUCAGGGAAACCUAUAUAUCAUGGUAACAUCCAUAAAAGUGCGGACAAAGAAAAAAUGGCUAUAUCAAGCUCCAAACCAUCCUUGAAAUAUCAAGGCGUUUUCGAAAAACAAUUGAAGGAUACAGGCAGUAUGCAACUAAAGUGGAGCGAGCAUAGUGCCAAACUUCCUGCUCCUCAUCUGUCAACUGUAGAGAAGAUAGUGGUGCGUCAAGCUCCAAGUCCAGGACGCAGUGAGCUAAAUAUCAAAUCACUUGUAUCAAGUGCUCCAGAAAAUAGAUGUGGUCUGGUUGGUGAUUUGAAUAGAUGUAGUGGUUCUAAUUCCGAAUCUGAUGAAGACUCUUGGAUUAUGCACAAAAGGAAGGCAGCAGAAGAUGUUACAUAUGUGAAGCAAGAAGAUACCACGACAAAUAGACGUGCUUCCGUAAUGGAAGGUCCGUCGUGUUCCUUUCUGCCUCACGGAGACAACCAUCAGAGUCCGAAGAGAGUUAAAUUCUCAUCUGACUGCCCUGAAGGCCUAAGUAGAGGGCCUCCAGUAGUAGGAGGUACAGACAGAAGUGAAGGGAUCUCAGUAGCUUCGUCCUUGAACUCUAGAUUAGUAGAAAAAUUGUCUUCAGAUAAUGUCAUAGCAUUAUUAGGUCAAGAACUAUUUUGGAAAGCAAGACGAACCAUUGCACACCAGCAACGGAUCUUUGCAAUGCAACUAUUUGAGCUACACAGGCUGACAAAGGUACAGAAAAUGAUAGCCCGAUCACCAGAUAUUUUGUUCAAAGACAACUUCUAUAUCCACCAACCUUCUAUCAAUUUUUCUUCCUUGAAGAAUUUGCCAUGUGAUGAUGUUAUUGAACCUCCUGUAGUGGCUGUUGAACAAAAGAUUUCUCCAAAACCAAACAAUUUUGAGCAUCCAGCAGAUAAUGCUUAUCUUCCGCUCCCCAAAGAUAAUGAUAAAAAGAAUAUACCACAGCUGUCAGCUCAAAAAUCAAAUGUAGGGCCAGUACCAACAUCGAGAUCUUUUGUAUCCGAUCCAAAAUUAUCACCUCGGUGCUACCAACCACCUCCUGGAUAUCAGUGGUUAGUUCCAAUAAGGUCACCUUCUGAAGGACUUGUUUAUAAACCUUAUACAGGACCUUGUCCACCGCCUGGAGGAAUUAUCGUGCCAGUUUAUGGUAGUUCCCGGCCAGCUACACUAUCUCCCACUGGUGGAGAUUUUGCGAAUGUGCCUUAUAGUGUACAGACUUCUCACAAGCAAGGUGUUGGGAUUUUUCCUGGUCCUGCAAUAUUUGAUCAGUCCUGCAUUCAACCUUAUUCCAUGCCUGUGAUAAAACCAUCUGCUUCAAGUUCCGCUAUCGAGCAAAUGAAUCCGUUUUCACAAAUUAUGUCAAGUGAGAAGGAGAAUAGUCCAUUUAUGCCUCAUAAAAAAACAUGCAACAUAUCAUGCCAGAAGAGCGCGGUCAUGUCAGAUUGUGACAGAACUUUUCAGGCCGAUAGAGGGAGUGAUAUGCAAGGAAGUACUGCAAGUAGUCCUCCUGAGAGGGCGCAAAAGGAUGCACUUUCUCUUUUUCCUAUCACACCAACUGCAAAAGGUUCAGAUCAACCAGUUCAAGAUAACAAUGCGGAGCAGCGAAUUCAAGUGAUCAAGGUUGUGCCCCAUAACCCAAAGUCAGCAUCUGAAUCUGCAGCUCGAAUUUUUAAGUCUAUACAAGAAGAAAGGAAAUUGAAUUACUAGUAUCCAAAACCUAACAACUUUAAUCUUGUACGAAAAGCCCUUUCUGCUGUAUGUUUUCCUUUAUCUAAAUUUCUUUCAUUUUUUAGCUUCCUUCUUGGAUUAAAGGUUCUUUACUGUAAAUAUAUUCAAUGGAAAGUGAAAAGCAACACAGGACUACAGUAAAGAUACACGAGAAUGUACAGUCUUAAAAAUGGUUCUUACUGAGUUAAAAAAGAGAUCUUCUUCUCCAAAAUAUUGGGUGGGAGCCAGUAGAGCAAGGACAUGUUCAUGUCCUUAU